CCCUUAGAUGUCCUGGGCCGCACGCGCGUUACACUGAUGCAUUCAACGAGCUUAUAACCUUGGCCGAGAGGCCUGGGCAAUCUUGUUAACGUGCAUCGUGAUAGGGAUAGAUUAUUGAAAUUAUUAAUCUUGAACGAGGAAUUCCUAGUAAACGCAGAUCAUCAAUCUGCAUUGAUUACGUCCCUGCCCUUUGUACACACCGCCCGUCGCACCUACCGAUUGGAUGGUCCGGUGAAGCCUCGGGAUUGUGGUUCUUGCCGCUUUAUUGUGGCGUCACCGCGAGAACUUGUCUAAACCUUAUCAUCUAGAGGAAGGUGAAGUCGUAACA
Molecule: ribosomal RNA, 328 nt
Filed under: uncultured eukaryote
Lineage: Eukaryota
Description: partial 18S ribosomal RNA
Rfam family: Eukaryotic small subunit ribosomal RNA
Source: RNAcentral